GGGUGGGACCUGCAGCUCAGAGGAUUAGAGCACGUGGCUACGAAACAUGAUGUCGGGGGUUCGAAUCCCUCCUUGCCCA
RNAcentral lists this transfer RNA (79 nucleotides) under Datura stramonium (jimsonweed). RNAcentral's name for it is "tRNA-Arg". It matches the Rfam family "tRNA". Rfam says of the family: Transfer RNA (tRNA) molecules are approximately 80 nucleotides in length. Their secondary structure includes four short double-helical elements and three loops (D, anti-codon, and T loops). The record is from RNAcentral. Lineage: Eukaryota; Viridiplantae; Streptophyta; Magnoliopsida; Solanales; Solanaceae.